This 500-nucleotide long non-coding RNA is filed under the name Daucus carota (carrot). Its description in RNAcentral is "long non-coding RNA (DCAR_LNC004549)". Lineage: Eukaryota; Viridiplantae; Streptophyta; Magnoliopsida; Apiales; Apiaceae. The record is from RNAcentral.
GAUGGGAUUCAAUUGGGAUUGUUUAAAAUCCAUUAAAAUCUGAUGGUAUUCAAAUGCUGAUGGAUUUUUUUUUGCAUUUCAUAAAAUGAUGGAUUUUGUGGCAUUCUUAGUGUAUUUUAAGUUUUUUGAAAUUUUUCAUCAAAAUCAAUGGGAUUUUGAAGCAUUGUGCUUAAAUCCUAUCAACUCUGCGCCAUUUUAUCAAGAAUCCGCACAAAAUCAAAAUCAGACACAAUCCAUUAAAAUCCAUAGACUAAAAACAAUCCAUUAAAAUCCCAAUCGAAUACACCCCUCUAAUUUACGAACCUAUAUAUUCGGGUUAAUUAUCAAGUUGGUCACCAAAGUGGGUUUAAUAUAUCAAGUUGGUCACUGAACUGAAAACGGUAUCAAGAUGGUCACUAAAGUCACCAUAAAUAUCGAACAAGUGCCUUGAAAUAUAAGUUCAAGCAACAAAAAUUUUAUUUAUAGAACUUUACACAUCAUUUAUGAAUUUUACGACAACC